This 440-nucleotide ribosomal RNA is filed under the name uncultured bacterium. RNAcentral's name for it is "partial 16S ribosomal RNA". It matches the Rfam family "Bacterial small subunit ribosomal RNA", at positions 338 to 795 of the family's 1533-position model. The record is from RNAcentral.
CCUACGGGUGGCAGCAGUGGGGAAUAUUGCACAAUGGGGGAAACCCUGAUGCAGCGACGCCGCGUGAGUGAAGAAGUAAUUCGUUAUGUAAAGCUCUAUCAGCAGGGAAGAAAAUGACGGUACCUGAGUAAGAAGCCCCGGCUAACUACGUGCCCGCAGCCGCGGUAAUACGUAGGGGGCAAGCGUUAUCCGGAUUUACUGGGUGUAAAGGGAGCGUAGACGGCAGUGCAAGUCUGGAGUGAAAGGCCGGGGCUCAACCCCCGGACUGCUCUGGAAACUGUGCAGCUGGAGUGCAGGAGAGGUAAGUGGAAUUCCUAGGGUAGCGGUGAAAGGCGUAGAGAUUAGGAGGAACACCAGUGGCGAAGGCGGCUUACUGGACUGUAACUGACGUUGAGGCUCGAAAGCGUGGGGAGCAAACAGGAUUAGAUACCCCUGUAGUC